RNAcentral lists this long non-coding RNA (704 nucleotides) under Gallus gallus (chicken). The record is from RNAcentral. Lineage: Eukaryota; Metazoa; Chordata; Aves; Galliformes; Phasianidae.
CUCAAACCAUCCCAAACUGCUCUUCUAUGAAUGAAUUCAAACACAAAAACUGCCUGCGUGUUGUCUGCAGGAGUUCAAACUUAAGAUGUGUCAACAUGAACACUGUGGCCGCCUCAGCUAUUGUUAGUCCCAUUGCCAGGCACCUAAUAAUUCCAUACUGGAAAAGGUUUGUGCUGUCUCAGCAGGGAAACAGGCAGCCAUGUGGUAGAGGCUAUCCAGUUAUGAGGAGUUUUUUAGGAAACACCGUAAACACGUUUUCCUUCAGGAACCUUUUCUUGAGUCAAAGGCAGGAAAAAAAAAAGUCAACCUUAUUAAUUCAUGGUGUUGCAAGAAGGAAAGAGUGCCAAACAUCCUGCCCAUGACGAUCCUUGGGGAGAGAAUACAAGAAACAGGGCAAGCCCUGAGGAAUCCUUGCCAUCGCCCAGUGCUGCUGGCUCUGCUUCUGCUGAGGGAGGACCUCUUCUGCCUAGGUAGGCCUGCCUGUGGGGCUGUUGUCCUUCAUUGGGCACACAUUAUCCUUUGUUGUCUUUCCUUUUCCUUCACUGACCUCCCUUUCUUUUGCCCGUGUGGAGCCUCAGCCCAGUUACCUUUCUUGUGACCCCCUGGAAGGACAAUGACAAGAGAUGAGAUCUUGAGAUGUCACAAGGCCGGCCAAGAAAGGAACCCCUUUUUGGCAUGAAUGCAACAUGAUCAAAAUCAGAAGA